CCGCCCACCCAGGCUUCCGCCUCUCGGCUGGGGUUCGGGGAGCCUCGGCAGCCCAGCCGGUGUCCUCUCGGUCCGCCCCAGGGCGCUGUUGUUUACAAAGCAUUUUCUUUUUUUUUUUAAACUUAAAAAGAUUUUUAAAAAAUUAUCUGUAUUUGUUUAUUGGGUAGAGACAACCAGAAAUUGAGAGGAGGAGGAGACAGAGAGGGAGAGAGACAAAGAGACACCUGCAGCCCUGCUUCACCGGGGGCUCGAACCCCGGCCCUUGUGCACUGUAACGUGUGCACUCAAUCAGGUGUGCCACCACCCAGCCCCCCGGUUUUUAAAACUUAAAAAAAAAUUUUUAUUGGAUAGAGAGAAAUUGAGAGGGAGAGGGAGAAAGAGACCCCUGCAGCCCUGCUUCUCCACUCGUGAAGCUUCCCCCCUGCAGGGCUUCACGACUCUGGGAUGACUUUCUCAGAGACAGGAAGAGAGAGACACGGCCGCGGACCUUGCCUCCCGCAGAGCAGCUGCUGGAGCCUGGGCUGAGAGCGUGGCCAAGCGGGUGCCCUCCCAGCUGCAGAAGUACCCCCUGGACUCAGCCUUGCCAAGGAACCUUCUUCACAGCCCACUUCAAAAGACAAGGUCCUCACCCCCAGGCCCACUUCUCCCCAGCACAGCUAGAGAAACUGGAAUGCUGGAGGGGGCGCAGAGGAGACACAC
Long non-coding RNA from Erinaceus europaeus (western European hedgehog), 699 nucleotides. RefSeq lists it as uncharacterized. Lineage: Eukaryota; Metazoa; Chordata; Mammalia; Eulipotyphla; Erinaceidae. The record is from RefSeq and is a predicted model, not a curated record. The transcript has 3 exons.